UAUUCCCCGCCCUAUAAAUGUUCAAUGUUUGUUAAUGUUGGUGUUUAGUCCCUAUUGUAGAUUUUUGUGUUAUGGUGUAACAAUGAAAGUCUGACUAUUUUGCCUGUUUUCAAAAUUAAGUAGAGACUGUUAUCUCUA
Molecule: long non-coding RNA, 138 nt
Organism: Melitaea cinxia (Glanville fritillary)
Lineage: Eukaryota; Metazoa; Arthropoda; Insecta; Lepidoptera; Nymphalidae
Exons: 2
Source: RefSeq, a predicted model, not a curated record